AGCGAACGCUGGCGGCAGGCCUAACACAUGCAAGUCGAACGAACUCUUUGGAGUUAGUGGCGGACGGGUGAGUAACACGUGGGAACGUGCCUUUAGGUUCGGAAUAACUCAGGGAAACUUGUGCUAAUACCGAAUGUGCCCUUCGGGGGAAAGAUUUAUCGCCUUUAGAGCGGCCCGCGUCUGAUUAGCUAGUUGGUGAGGUAAAGGCUCACCAAGGCGACGAUCAGUAGCUGGUCUGAGAGGAUGAUCAGCCACAUUGGGACUGAGACACGGCCCAAACUCCUACGGGAGGCAGCAGUGGGGAAUCUUGCGCAAUGGGCGAAAGCCUGACGCAGCCAUGCCGCGUGAAUGAUGAAGGUCUUAGGAUUGUAAAAUUCUUUCACCGGGGACGAUAAUGACGGUACCCGGAGAAGAAGCCCCGGCUAACUUCGU
Molecule: ribosomal RNA, 432 nt
Filed under: uncultured bacterium
Lineage: Bacteria
Description: partial 16S ribosomal RNA
Rfam family: Bacterial small subunit ribosomal RNA
Source: RNAcentral